Molecule: ribosomal RNA, 375 nt
Filed under: uncultured bacterium
Lineage: Bacteria
Description: bacterial SSU rRNA
Rfam family: Bacterial small subunit ribosomal RNA
Source: RNAcentral
UAAUACGAAGGGGGCUAGCGUUGCUCGGAAUUACUGGGCGUAAAGGGAGCGUAGGCGGAUAUUUAAGUCGGGGGUGAAAGCCCAGGGCUCAACCCUGGAACUGCCUUCGAUACUGGAUAUCUAGAGUAUGGGAGAGGUGUGUGGAACUCCGAGUGUAGAGGUGAAAUUCGUAGAUAUUCGGAAGAACACCAGUGGCGAAGGCGACACACUGGCCCAUUACUGACGCUGAGGCUCGAAAGCGUGGGGAGCAAACAGGAUUAGAUACCCUGGUAGUCCACGCUGUAAACGAUGAGUGCUAGUUGUCGGCAUGCAUGCAUGUCGGUGACGCAGCUAACGCAUUAAGCACUCCGCCUGGGGAGUACGGUCGCAAGAUUA